Molecule: transfer RNA, 89 nt
Filed under: Eremomyces bilateralis CBS 781.70
Lineage: Eukaryota; Fungi; Ascomycota; Dothideomycetes; Eremomycetales; Eremomycetaceae
Rfam family: tRNA
About the family: Transfer RNA (tRNA) molecules are approximately 80 nucleotides in length.
Source: Rfam by way of RNAcentral
GCUCGCUUAGCUCAGUUGGUUAGAGCGUCGUACUAAUAUUCCUACAAUAUGGUAUGCGAAGGUCGCCAGUUCGACCCUGGUAGUGAGCA